Molecule: ribosomal RNA, 468 nt
Filed under: uncultured bacterium
Lineage: Bacteria
Description: partial 16S ribosomal RNA
Rfam family: Bacterial small subunit ribosomal RNA
Source: RNAcentral
GACGAACGCUGGCGGCGUGCUUAACACAUGCAAGUCGAACGGAAAGGCCCUGCUUUUGUGGGGUGCUCGAGUGGCUAACGGGUGAGUAACACGUGAUUAACCUUCCCUUGACUUUGGGAUAACUUCAGGAAACUGGGGCUAAUACCGGAUAGGAGCUCCUGCUGCAUGGUGGGGGUUGGAAAGUUUCGGCGGUUGGGGAUGGACUCGCGGCUUAUCAGCUUGUUGGUGGGGUAGUGGCUUACCAAGGCUUUGACGGGUAGCCGGCCUGAGAGGGUGACCGGCCACAUUGGGACUGAGAUACGGCCCAGACUCCUACGGGAGGCAGCAGUGGGGAAUAUUGCACAAUGGGCGGAAGCCUGAUGCAGCAACGCAGAGUGCGGGAUGACGGACUUCGGGUUGUAAACCGCUGUCGCCUGUGAAGAAGAGUGAGUGACGGUAAUGGGUAAAGAAGCACCGGCUAACUACGUG